GUGGGUUGUACUAGAAGUCCUCAGGCUGACCGCAAGGAGGCAGAGGCCCAAGGUAUGACUCAUGAUUGGGGUGAAGUCGUAACAAGGUAGCCGUAGGUGAACCUGCAGAAGGAUCA
RNAcentral lists this ribosomal RNA (116 nucleotides) under uncultured eukaryote. RNAcentral describes it as "partial small subunit ribosomal RNA". It matches the Rfam family "Bacterial small subunit ribosomal RNA", at positions 1410 to 1525 of the family's 1533-position model. The record is from RNAcentral.